UGAUUUAAAAAAUAUAAUGAAAGUUACAAAAUAAAAUACUAGAUAUAAAAAUUAAUGUAAUUUUAAAAUAGACUCUAUUAUAAUUAAAUACAACUUAAAAACAAAACUUUUAAGGUAAUGGAAAAUCACGUAUCGUUGAAGAGUACAAUUAGUUGGUAUUCUCUUUCUAUUUUUUCUUUGUUUUUUUCCUUUAUUCCUCUUCCUUUCCUUACAAGGUUGUUAUUCUCGUCGUACCACCACUACCAUCUUAAACUCGUCGUCUUCCUCUUUCUUUUUCUUCUAUUUUUCUUCCCAAUCCUUAUUUUUCUUUUUCCUUUACCUCUUCCUCUUCCUCCAGUCUCUUGUCUCUUCUAACUCUAGUAACCACUAUUACGCCU
RNAcentral lists this long non-coding RNA (377 nucleotides) under Vigna radiata. RNAcentral describes it as "long non-coding RNA (VRAD_LNC007150)". Lineage: Eukaryota; Viridiplantae; Streptophyta; Magnoliopsida; Fabales; Fabaceae. The record is from RNAcentral.